AUGCGGUCCCAUUCCGGGAGGCGUAACAAGCCUGGGGCGCUUCCACUCCGGCACCCUCAAUCCCUCGCUUCUGCCACCUGUGAUCCGGUCCCCCGGGCAGGCGCGAGGCGCCCCACGCCGCCCGGCCCCUGCCAACGCCCUGCUCGUCCGGGAGCCGCCGUCCCUCCCCCCCGCUCACCUCCAGCCCGGCUCGAAGCCCAGGCGGGAGAGGAGGCGUCGGCGCACCCCCUCCUGCUAAGCAAGCUGCCUUUUCCAGCAACAGGCGGGCGCAAGAUUCGGGGUUUGGGGAUGCGCUCGAGCUGCGCCUCCGGCCGCCGCUCCAACCGCGGGCCCCCCGAGUGGGCACCUGAGGCAAAGGUCUCCCCAGCGACCCCAGCGGCUCGGCCCCACCCCCUCCCGCUCCGGCAGCAGCCUCCUGCCCGCCCCCCGCGUCCUCCUCCCGGGAUACUCCGGAUCCCGGCGGCAAACUGGCUGCAAACAGGAGUCGCACGCGCGCGAGGCGAGGCUCCGGGGCGCCGGGCAGGAGGAGCGCGCGCCGCAGCGCCCACCCCGGGCCGCCCGCGCCGCCGGCCCCGCUCCCGGGCGCGCCGCACCGAGGACCUGCCCCGCCACCCCGUUCGGGGCCCGGGCCGCUCGGGGCGCGGGUCCCCCGCGAGGCCACUCACCCGCGGCGCGGCGGCAGCAGCAGCAGCAGGCGGCGAGCAGCAGGGCGCACGCGAGCCCGGGCCGCCCCAUGCUUCCCGGCCGGAGGGCGAGCGCCUAGUGAGCGGCCGCGCGCGGCCGGGGGCUGACGUCAGGGGGGCGGGGGAGGGGCCCGGCCGCCCCGCCCCGCCCGCCCGCCCCGCCCGCCCCGCGCAGCCCCCCGCCCCGCCCCGCCCCGCGCCGCCCCAGCGCGGCCCCGCCGCGGCCCCAGCCCCGCGCGCGCCCGGUCGGCCGAGGGGGCUUGACAGGUGUCUCGAGGCGGGCAGGCGGCCGCGGCGGCGGGGAGAGGCCGGCCCGGACGCCCAGAGUCACGCCGGGUCCGAGGCGGCCGCGCUCGCCCCGCUCGCCCCGCUCGGCCCCCACCAGCCGCCGGGCCCGGCCGGCCCGCGGGGCGAGGGAGCCGCAGCCCAGGCCUCCCGGCCCCCGGGGGCCUCCGCUGCCGCCUCCUCUUCCGCCGCCCGGAGACCUGGCCGCGCGGCCGCUUCCCAGAACCAGAACCAUUGCACCACUGCGGCCGCCGGCCUGGCACUGCCCCCAGCCUCGCGCACCCCAGCCUCGCUGCGCCCGCAGCUCUGCGGGAAGAACCCUGCGCCGGGCCCACAGACCCAGAGGUGCCCGGACUGGGGACUGGAGAUGGCCCCUAUGCGCUGCCCCCUCAAAGCCAAGCUCCCGCUAGUCCCCACCGGCGAAAGGGAAGGGGCUGAAUUCACGGGCCCAAGGUUUUCACACUCGUCCACGUCCAGACCUUGA
This 1452-nucleotide long non-coding RNA is filed under the name Canis lupus familiaris (dog). RNAcentral's name for it is "lncRNA (ENSCAFG00040019417.1)". Lineage: Eukaryota; Metazoa; Chordata; Mammalia; Carnivora; Canidae. The record is from RNAcentral.